RNAcentral lists this long non-coding RNA (3991 nucleotides) under Paramuricea clavata. Lineage: Eukaryota; Metazoa; Cnidaria; Anthozoa; Malacalcyonacea; Plexauridae. The record is from RNAcentral.
CAUAGCCUAUCGAAGGGAAGAUGGCUGUGAAACUCUUUAGAAUAACAAAAUUAACAAAUGAAUAUAACUCAUUAUCUAUGUUGGUCAACGUUUAUUCAUAAAUUUGGUCCUUUCACCGUCACGUGUGUAUUGUAUUUUUGCCAAAUCCACCAAUAGCAAUGUUUAGGAAAGUCACCUAUCCGUGACUCGAACAAUAGGGAAAAUGGAAAUGGACUUACGCUUUAGCAAAAUUUUUAAUCUGGGAAUAACAAAGGAUAUUUUCUGAAAGAAGUUAUCAAAAUUAGAAAAACUGCAAAGUUUGGUUGCGAAAUGUUGUAAAAUACGGAAAAUAUAGCCCUGCGAAGUUGGCAAAUUUGUAUACAUUUCUAUUACGUGCGGAAAUUGGUAACUAAUUUAGUUACCAAUUCACGUACGUAAUACAAAAGUAUACAAAUUUGCCAACUUUGAAGGGCUAUAUUUUCCGUAUUUUUACAACAUUUCGCAACCAAACUUUGUAAUAUUACUAAUUCCAAGACGCUCUUUCCAGCUGUGGUGAUAGAUUUCGUUGUUCUUACUUCGAUUAAAAUUUAGUCUAAAGCGCAAGUCGUCCAUUGCUAUUGGUGGAUUUGGUAAAAGUACAAUAGACACGUGACGGCGAAAGGACCAGAUUUAUGAAUAAACGUUGACUAACAUAGAUACUGAGUUAUAUUGUUAUUCUAAUGAGUUUCACAGCCAUCUUUCCUUCGAUAGGCUAUGGUUUAAGCACAGAAUAGGAAGGUAUAGCAGAAGCGUAACUCAAGCAAGUAUUUGUCCGCGUUUUUACAAGCGAUUCGUCAUCAAUCACGCCAUCCUGGCUAGUACAACCGGCACUUUGUACCUACCAAAACCUGAUAAAAACUUCCGGUUGUACUAGCCAGGAUGGCGUGAGCGAGUUAAAAUUUUCGUGGACGUAAAACAAUAAGGGAAACGAGUAGAGUUACGCUUCUGCUAUAACUUCUUAUUCUGUGGUUUAAGCAAGUAACGUUUUCGUCAACACAGACGUCGCCCAAAAAUUGGUAGAACUAAUUUUGGCGGCAUUUUGCGUCAUAGCGCUCGUGUAAAGAAGCAAAAAGUUUAAAAGUCUUCUGUUUUGUCAUAUGUGUUGAAGAUUGCCACAGACUGCGUCCUUCCUAAUGCAGCACUCGGCUGUAGGGAAAGAUUACAGGUAAACUACGUGAAGCGUUCCUCUUUUGACUUCGUAACUCAUUUGGAAUUUUCCUCAUUAGCUUCGCAAAUUUGAAAAACUCUUUGCAAAUCCCUUGAGGGAAUUUGCAAUGUUCCUAUCGGCUGUUGCAAUAUUCCAAACUUCAUUUUAAAUUUUCCUAACUUCCUGUUUUAAUUUCCUAACUUCCUGUUCUGUUCUGAGCGUUGUUAUUGGUCGAUUAUUUUUGUUAGCCAAUUGCAAUGCCCAAAACAGAACAGGAAGUUAGAAACUUGUAACAGGAAGUCAAGAACUUCUAACAGGAACUGAGGAACAUUUUUUUGGCUUUUAGCAACAUUGCAAAUUCCCUCAAGGGAUUUGCAAGGGAGUUUUUUAAAUUGCAAAAGUAAUGAGGAAAAUUGCAAUCAAUUUAGAAACUCAAAAGAGGAACGCUUCACGUGGUUUACCUGUAAUAUAGCAUCUCUUCAUCUUUAAAAUUGGGAAAACGUACAAGCGAUAUACUGCUGAUUCAAAAAACGUUUAAUUUGAUUGGCUUUAAGCUUGCUUUAAAUGCUUGUUGACACAAAGCCACUUGUGUUUGUGGCAGUAAAAAAGUUAAAAUUAAAAACAAAAUGAAGCGAAAAAAAUUUAAAUUCAUCCAAUGAAUUUAUCAUCUGACUUGGUUAGGACUGAGAUGUAAACCAGACUUGUCAUGCUAUGCUAAGGGGGCGGACCAUUAGAAAAGUGAUGGGGGGGGGGAGCGAAAAUAAAAAUCAUGCAGGGGAAACAGAAAGAAAAAACCGUGCACCAAGAAAAUUUAAAAAAAUUCAUGCAGGAAAAUUAUAAGUUGAAAUAAAAAAAAAAUUCGUGCACCAAGAAAGUUUGAAAAAAAAUUCGUGCAGAGAUAAAAUAAAAAAAUUCGUGCAAGGAAUUAUAUUUUAAAAAAUUAUCGACACAAGCAAAAAAUGUAAAAAAAUAUUCGUACAAGUUGGAAAAAGUCCCCCCCCCCCCUCCAUCACUUUUCUAAUGGUCCGCGCCAGACAUACCUGCAUCUCGAUGGGUUAAAGUUACAUUUCUAAAUGUUUGAAUAAUGCGAAUCAGUAAACAUUUGCAUAGCAUGACCUAUUGCUAUGGCUAGGCACGGAUAUAAACUGCUGCUGUGGCCUGACAUAUAGAUUAAAAAAACCUUUUGAGCGGAGGCGACAUUUGAGGUAACUUUAGGCUGAUUAGCCUGAUUAUUUCAUAUUUCAUUUGAAGAAAACAGUAUUUUAAUCUAUGAAGUCAUGGGCUUGCAUUACGGAUCCAGACAUUUCAAAGUCGAGUGCAAGGAGGGAGAGGUAGAGGGAGGUAGAGGGAGGUAGAGGGGAAGAGAGAAAGAGGGAGAGGUAGAUGGAGGAAGAGAGGUAGAGGGAAGAAGAGGGGGAGAGAGAAAGAGGGAGAGGGGGAGGAAGAGGGGGAGAGAGGGAGAGGUAGAGGGAGCAAGAGGUGGAGAGAGAAAGAGGGAGAGGAGGGUCGAGAGAGAGAGAUUUAAUAUAAUGAUCUUGUAAUGUCAUCAAUCGAUUAUAUAAUUAGUUGUUAAUUUUUAGACAUAAUCAAAUUGUUGUAUGAUUUAAAUAUAAUAGAUAUUUGUUAAAAACAAUAUCAGCAUGUAUCGGUAUAAUUUUGAUAUAAUUUUAAGAAUUUUAAUGUAAAAGCUGGUUUUACACUAAAAAAAUUUGUAUGAUCACAGUAGCGUCACCCAAUUUGACUCCAAGACGUUUGAAUUAAAGUUGUCUUGAAGAGGUUUACCGACUAGCUGUUAUAUAUUUUGAUCAAGUUAUACUUUCAAUACAGAAACUGUAGAGUAUAUACCAGCGUAAUUAAUAUAACUAUUUCAUGAAAUAGACAAAAUUCACAUACAUCUUAGGGGCAGGCCAUUCGAAUCACAGUGAUGGGAGGAGGGACAAAAAAAUUCGCGCAAAGGGAAACAAAAAAAAUCGUUCGAAGAGGAAAACAAAGAAAAUUACCAUUCAUUUCCGCCAAAACGUUCUAGCACAAGCAGACGGCCGAGAAAAAGAAUUAUUCAUCGUGCAAGCUGAAACCCAUCCCCCCCCCCCGUCCCUCAUCACUUUUCUAAUGGUCAAUCUCUCAUGAAAAUGUUAUCUAAUAAUGUAUCCAAUUAUAUAAGUAAUUUGCAUGUUUACUAUUAAAUAAAAGUUUUUUUUGCAUGUAUUCAUAAUUUAUUGGUUAAUUGUUGUAGUCUGUCUUUAUUGGGAUUUUGCCGAGUACUGCCUUCGCAUGGGGUGGCAGCGAAGAGAAUGUUUUUCUUGAUAAAAAUUUUGCUGACCUCAGAUAUGAAAUAAAAAAUAACUACCCACCCCUGGCCGAAAACUUUACAACAGGAUACCAUUCAGUUGUCACACAUGUCCUUUACAACUUCUGUGACACGAGUUUGAUAACUGCUUGUGUAAUCUUCUGCAGUCUAAAAUUCCAUGUCUGCAAUUUGGAGACGCAAACCCCACCGGCUUUACUUUGGGGUUAGAGUUAGGGGUUAGGGGGGUGGGGGUUAGAGGUUAGGGUUAGGGUGGGGGUUAGGGUUAACAACCCAAUAACUUAUUGCUAAUAACGGUUGAUAAUUACAAUACUAUAUUGUUGAUAACGCAAGGAGCGGCUGGCCUCUUUCCUCUUCUAGAGGAAAGGCCCUGGUAGGAGCUGGUCACGUGAUCUGCUAAAAUCUAGCAGAUUUUUACGCAAUCUCGUACCCGGAGCAAUGCCUGUGCGCGGGCUAGGAUGGCAUUGGCUCUGGGGAAAUUGAAUUUUUCCUGUGCUGUGAUUGGUUAACGUUUAUCAAUC